AUGAGGCCGUACUCGCCGAAUCUCCGGCAAGCCGCUGCCGGCGCCGGCGCCACCAGCGCCCCCCUUGCAGCAGCUCUCGGCAAGAGUUCUUCGAGCUCCCUUAUCCAUGGCCGUCUCAGCUUCGGCCACACGUUGCUGCAGACACCGAACCACCGCGCCAAGAGAGCAGGGUGGGCGGUGCGGGUGCUUCCCCUGACGGAGGAGAACGUGGAGAGGGUGCUGGACGAGGUGCGGCCGAGCCUGAUGCGGGACGGAGGCAACGUCGCCCUGCACGAGAUCGACGGCCUCGUCGUCGUGCUCAUGCUCCAGGGCGCCUGCGGCUCCUGCCCCAGCUCCACCAUGACGCUCAAGAUGGGAAUCGAGUCCCGCCUCCGUGACAAGAUCCCCGAGAUCCUCGAGGUCGAGCAGAUCCACGACACCGAGACCGGGCUUGAGCUCAACACAGAGAACGUCGAGAAGCUGCUAGAUGAGAUCAGGCCGUACCUUUCCGGCACCGGAGGUGGAAGCCUUGAGCUUGUUCAGAUUGACGGUUUCGUCGUCAAGAUUCAAAUCAGUGGACCUGCAGCAGGUGUAAUGACAGUACGUGUAGCUGUAACACAAAAGCUGAGAGAGAAAAUACCAUCGAUCCUGGCUGUUCAGUUGACAGAGUAG
RNAcentral lists this ribosomal RNA (651 nucleotides) under Triticum aestivum (bread wheat). RNAcentral's name for it is "partial small subunit ribosomal RNA". Lineage: Eukaryota; Viridiplantae; Streptophyta; Magnoliopsida; Poales; Poaceae. The record is from RNAcentral.